RNAcentral lists this unclassified non-coding RNA (21 nucleotides) under synthetic construct. The record is from RNAcentral.
UGCUCUCUACGCGUGUCUGUG